Molecule: ribosomal RNA, 255 nt
Filed under: uncultured bacterium
Lineage: Bacteria
Description: partial 16S ribosomal RNA
Rfam family: Bacterial small subunit ribosomal RNA
Source: RNAcentral
UACGUAGGGUGCGAGCGUUGUCCGGAAUUAUUGGGCGUAAAGAGCUCGUAGGCGGCUUGUCGCGUCGGAUGUGAAAGCCCGGGGGCUUAACCCCCGGGUCUGCAUUCGAUACGGGCAGGCUAGAGUUCGGUAGGGGAGAUCGGAAUUCCUGGUGUAGCGGUGAAAUGCGCAGAUAUCAGGAGGAACACCGGUGGCGAAGGCGGGUCUCUGGGCCGAUACUGACGCUGAGGAGCGAAAGCGUGGGGAGCGAACAGG